AAGGAACAAGAAUCAGCAGCCGCAAGAGGAGGGGAGAUAGAGAGCACGGCUGGAAAAAUUCUGAGGCAAAACAGAAAUCAGAGAGAAUAGGCAUCAAGGAUGGCUGCAAAACUUAAGGAAAAACAGAGGAAGGAAAUGGAGGAGCUGGGUUUCGGGCAGACAAAGGAGAAGAAAUAAGAAAGGGGGAGGAAAAGAGUGGAACGGCAAAAAGAAAAGGAGAAGAAAGAGAGAGGCGACGGACAGCAAAGAAAAACAAGAGAGCUAACGGCUGAGUGAGUAAAAGGGAGAGCUUUGAGAGUUUUGGAAGGAGGUGACGGCUGAAAUCUGGAAAAAGAAAGGAAAGCCAGAGAAAGGAGUGGACGGCUGGUGAGGAAGAAGGCUAGAGUUUUGAGAGAGGUGGGCUGUGAGGAACAGAAAACUGGAGAGCUUUCGGGCAGAGUAAGGAACCGUGAGUGAAGGAAAGCCAGACAGAGAGAAACUAGAACAAGGAGAAGAGGAUCUGCGGCCCAUUGCCCUCAGAUUGUGGUGGAUUCCAGUCAGUUACUCCAAAGUCCUAUCAAAAUCCAGUUCUUGUAGCAGCAAAACAGGUAAUCCUCAACCUCUUCCCGUAUGAAAAAUCCAGUUCUUGCAUGAUUGUGUUUUGGCCGAGAGAAAAUGGUUAAAGUUUCCAACUUUGGUUGGUGGUUCGUCUUAGGUUGAGUUUUGGGUUGCAAGACUAGAUUUUUCUUGUAAGUUAGUGUCAUAGAUUCUCAUUUUAAGUAUUGCUGCUGUCCAUGUGAGGAACAAGAACCAAACCAGAAAAUGGAGUGCUUCUUCGGCAAGUUGAAUUUCUGACUUUUAAUUCGUUGAUUUCCUUUUUCGUUCUGUGAGUUUGUAAGCUGUUUUUGGGUAGUUAUAGGUAUAAAAUGCAUGUUUUGUAUGUUUGGGGGCUGAAACACUUGAAUUAAGAUCAAAUGCUUGCUGAAAAUGAUCAUUUCAGGUUGCUGAACCACCUUUGCACACAUAUUUUUCCAGAAUUUUUUGCAUGGCUUCAGUCUGGUUUUUGUUCGUCUGGAUUGGGGUGGUUGUAUAGUUACUUGCGUAGUUUAAAGCUGUGAUGUUGGGGUUGAAGGGUAUCUAAUCAAAGUCGUGUGUUUGAAUUGGAAAUUUGAGUUAGGAAACAAAAAAAAAUGCAGCAGGCUUCACUUUUGGCUGCUGAAUUUUUUCGAGUGUUUGAAUUACUUAGUUUGCUGGUUAUUUGGAAUAUUUUGAGAGGUGUUUAACGUGGUUUUGAGUGAAGUUGAUUUGAAGUUUUAAAUGAACUUGGUUUUGCCGAAAGUUUACAUGCAAGGAUAGAAAGUCAUGGCUGAAAAUUGCAGAAGCCAAAUCCGCAAGUCUGUUGAAAGGUUCAAGCAGUUUGCAUGUUUUUCCAUGCUCAUGGUUCAUUGUACCAUGGCAUUUAUGUGUGUUUUGAAGUAAUGAUUUUGUUAGGUGAAAGGUUUGGUUAAAGAUGAGGUGCUAAAGUCCAAAGUUUGUGUUUGAAAAUGCAGCAAAUUAGUACAGAAGCCUAAGCUGCCACAAUUUUUCUGUGAUGUUUUCUUCUCUGUGUUUGAUUUGUUGAGUUUUCCUACUUAACCUGCAUGCCUAAUCUUAUGUUUGAAUGGAAGAAAAGAAGGUUUGGUGUUGAGUUUGCAUUCUUUGAAUCACAGGAAAUGUAAACUAGCUUGAAUGUUGGCCAAGUAAAAUAGAUUUCCCUAAAAAUUCUGAAUGGUGGGUGAGUUGUCUUGAACCAAUCUGAAUCAUGAGUUGGUUUCUCAUUCCAGAUUUCUCUUUGUUUUUUUUUAUGCAUAAAAGGUGUUUUUAAGAAUGAGUUUGCAACCUUUAGCGAGUGCUAGGAAGCUGGAUUUUCUUCUUGGUUAAAAUCUUUUCUCUUGCCGCAUAAGGCUGCUGAAGUUCCAAAGUCUCGGCUGACUCUCUUUGGCUGCAGAAAUGUUUCCUAAGCUUUGCAUGAAGUCACCUGAACUGUUCAGAUUUUGCAUGUCUGUUGGCUGACCUUUGGUGUUAAAUUUAUAAGUUUCAUGAUGCAAAAUGAGUGGAAUGUAUGGUAGUUUUUUUUGUUUGGAUUUAAUUGAGUUUGAAAGCUGUUAAUGCCGAAUUGAGGGAAGCUUUCAUCAGAAUUCUUGUUGCAGGCAAUGUUUACGUAGCUUUGCAUGGUUUUGCAUGAAACUAUUUUUGAAAAUUUCACUUUAACCCCCCAAGUCUCCCCUUGUUCUACUAUGACCCACAAAUUUGAGAAAGCUAAUCAAUUGGGUCCCUGUGAUUUUUGUAGCAAUGCAUUAUGGCCCAAUUACAUUCCAAUGUCUUGCAAUUAGGUUCUAAGGUGUUUGCAUUUGAAUCAUUAAUUGAUCUUUAUUAUUUUUGGGACCUUUGAAGCUCUUUGAUGAUUCAUUUUGACGUUGAUUGUGAUUGAUUAGUGGUCGUUAUUGGGUCCUAGAAAUGCAAGUUUAAACCAUUCAUGGACUUUCAUUCACUCUUGGAUUCUUGAGAUAUGAUGUUUGCUUGGAUUUUAAUUUUUACUUGGGGACCUUUGAGUUUUUAAAUGCUUCAAUUAGGUUCAAAUGAUUUGAGUAGUGCUUGCAUUUGGGUUUUUAGUAGAUGUUAUGCUUGGGGAUUGGAUGAUCAUGCUUUUUGCCUUGGUCUUUAAGUAGUUUUGACUUCAUUGAGUUGCAAUUGAGGGAAAGUUUGAUGUUUGGUGGAUUCAAAUUGUUUAGUUUAUAUCUUAUCAUUAAAUUGGUGCAUUAAUCUUUUGUUUUUGGUGAUUUUAGCCUAAAUUAGUCUUUUCUUGGGUGACUCUAGCCAAGUUGAGUUUGUUUACUUCCUUAGUAUCACCAACGGGGCGGUAUAAUCUCUUUUACCCCUUUUGUUUCUCUCCUAUGUGGACUAAUGUGCUAAUUGAAAUUUGCAUGUCUACUUGCUUUCCUAGCCUCUCCUUAUUUCCUUUCAGUUAUUUCAUUUACUUUUGAUUUUUAUUAAUGGGGUAUGUGUACACCUCUUGGCUUGUAAUAGAUAGGGCGUAGCAAGUAAUUUGGUCCAUUUUUCCUUUCCCUUUUGUUUUAGUUAGCAAAUGUAAUGGUUGCAUGCCUAUGUGUUAUAUGUUAAAUGCUUUAUUAGGAUUUUGCAUCUAGUCAAGCAUGCUAAGUGUUAUGUGCUACGUGUUUAUAAGUGAUUCGCAUGUCUACUCGCUUUUUAUAGUGUGGAUGAAUGGAAUGGAUGAAUGUACGUCACCACACUAGUCCAACGCUAGUUGUGGCUUCUUUUAUCGUUUCCACUAGUCCAACGCUAGUCGGAAUUCAUAGGAGGGGCUAGUCCAAUGCUAGACCCAAUAGGUUUUUUUUUCCUUUUUCAUGAAGUGCAUGAUCACCACAUAUCACGCAUUUUUCCUUAGUUUAUCAUUUGGUAUGUUCCUCAAACCCCUUCCCCUUCACUUUAGGACUUGCAUCUCAUGCUAGUUAGGGUUCAUUUGCGUGAAAAUCCCCUCUUGAUAAGGGAAACGAGCGAGUGUGGCUACUCGAUAGCCUUAGCACGCUAGUUUCGCCUUCUAAUCAAAGGGAAAAUCGAAGUCGAAAAGUUAGGAGUCAACCCCCGUACCCGACUUGUUGCAUUCCUCUAGGGUCAUACUUUCAUUUUUAUCACCUACAUACUCUUUUAACCACAUUUUUUCACAUUUCUCAAAACCAUCCUUUCUCACUACAUUUUUCCUAUCACGUGCUCAUUUUCACCUCACAAAUGGAAUUCCACUUUACCUUAUAUAUCUAUUAUUCUAUUUUCACACACUUGCACACAAGAAACACUCAAAUUUUAUACAAUUUCACACAUGCACCUUUUUAUACAUUCGAACACUUGCACUUACAUUUCUUGCAUCUUUCAUACACUUUCACACUUGCACACUUGAAUUUGAACUCUCACUUGGAUUAAUCGACCUCUAUGAGGUUUUCCUUUGUUGGCCGCCACAAUUCAUGUGGUUUUGGACCAAAAGCCUCACAAGAGACAUCGUAGAAUUUAGGAUUGCAUUUUCCUUUCCGUUUUGCAUUCAUAUAGUCAUAUCCAACGUGCGAUACAUACAUUGGGUAGAAGAUUAGGAAAGGUAAGGUUAAGUCGCGCAACUAGCCUUGGCUAGGUCAAAGGGGUGCCUUGGAUUCUAUCCUUGCCUUCCCCUUUGUCAAACGUGACUCCCGAACCUUUUUCUUUGGCUUACGUGGACUAGGAGUCGUUUUAAAAGGGUUUUACUACUUUGUCUUUAAAAAUUUAUUUUUCAGGUGACUUGGUACACCUUAAUCAUUACCAAGUGGCGACUCCAAUUUCUCAUUCAAAAACCCUUUUUAAAACACUAUUUUGGGUCAAAUCGUCGCUUUUUCAAGUCCCAUAUUAGACCCCAUAUCUUUUUCAACUCACAAAAAUCAUUUUCCAAUCACAAUUGAAUCAAACACAUCUUUCUCAAACCAUUUUUAUUUAUUUAUUUUUCUUAUCAAAAAAUGGGGCGCGACAGUAAGGGUGACCUCCACUCUACUGGAACGUAUAAAAGAGGCGCAAGGCAAGGAUUUGAUGGUACAGAAGUGGAGAGAGAAAGUGGAAAAGGGAGAAACAACGGACUUCAAUCUGAGUCCUGAGGGUAUGUUGCAAUAUCGAGAUCGAAUAGUGGUACCAAAGGAGGAAUCGUUGAAAGCAGAAAUUUUGGAGGAAGCUCAUAGGUCCAAGUAUACAAUCCAUCCGGGCAGCAGCAAGAUGUAUCAAGACCUAAAAGGAACCUAUUGGUGGGACAACAUGAAGAGGGAAAUCGUUCAAUACGUGCAGAAAUGUCUCAUUUGCAGCAAGUGAAGGCAGAGCAUCAAAAACCAUCGGUUGUUACAACCCUUGGAGAUACCCGAGUGGAAGUGGGAAAACAUCACCAUGGACUUCGUUUCAAGUUUACCGAGGACGCAAAGAGGAAACGAUGCCGUUUGGGUGAUCGUUGAUCGAUUAACCAAGUCGGCCCAUUUCUUGCCGGUAAACAUGAAGUAUUCAAUGGACAAAUUGACCCGAUUGUACAUGGAUGAAAUUGUAAGGCUACACGGAGUGCCUGUGAGCAUCGUCUCUGAUCGGAGAUCCACGAUUUGUAUCACGGUUUUGGCAGAAGUUUCAAGAAACCCUGGGACGAAAACUCAAUUUGAGCACUACCUAUCACCCUCAGACGGAUGGCCAGUCGGAACGGACGAUUCAGACUCUUGAGGAUAUGCUACGAACCUGUAUUCUGGACUUUAGAGGCAAUUGGGGUCAGCACAUGACCUUGGUAGAAUUUGCGUACAACAAUAGCUUCCAUUCGUCAAUUCAAAUGGCUCCGUAUGAAGCUCUCUACGGACGCAAGUGCCGCUCACCGAUUUAUUGGGAUGAAGUAGGUGAAAAGAAAGCACUGAAUCCGCAACCAUUCCAUGGAUGGAAGAGGCUCAGGAAAAGGUCAAGUUGAUACGACAACGACUUCAAACCGCCCAAAGUCGUCAAAAGAGCUACGCGGAUAACCGAAGAAAAGAUUUGGAAUUUGAAGUUGGAGAUUAUGUAUUUCUCAAAAUCACACACCUUACGAAGUCUUACAACGGGCAAAGAAAGAAACUUCAACCGCGGUACGUCGGACCCUAUAAGAUCCUUCAAAGGGUUGGAGUGGUCGCGUAUCGAUUGGAACUACCAUCCAGUCUAUCUCGAAUCCACGACGUAUUUCACGUCUCGAUGCUAAAGAAGUACCAUCCUGACCCAUCUCAUGUUUUACAACCGGAGGAUAUCGAAGUAGAUGAAUCACUGGCCUAUGAAGAGAAACCGGUUCAAGUACUCGAUCGAAAAAUCAAAGAGCUCCGAAACAAACGGAUUCCACUAGUGAAGGUGCUAUGGAGAAACCACGGAGUUGAGGAAGCCACCUGGGAGAUGGAAGAGGAAAUGCGAAAGAAAUACCCAAACCUUUUCGGGAAUUAAGGUGAGAAAUUUCGAGGACGAAAUUCUUUUAAGGGGGGGAGAGUGUGAGAACCCGUAAAACCCUAAUUAUUUUUCUAGGGUUUAUUUCCCUUAAUUGCAUGUUUUCUGCAUUUUCUGGCUUAGAGAUAUUUUCUUAGUGGAUUUUAUGAGCAAUUAUAGUUUUAAGAUGAUUUUUCUAGCAUUGGGGAAAUUUUAGGAAAUUAAGAGUAAAUAGUGGACGUGGGACCCACUAGUGCGAAAAGUUCGGAAAAAUUCGGCCGAUAAGGUUAAGUUUCGGAUACUGUUUAAAAUUUAUCGGGUGUUAAGAGAUAAGUAGUGUGUGUGAAGUGAUUGAUGUGAGAGAGAAAAGAAAGAUAAGAAUGCAUUUAUGAAGGUGACAAGUGUCACCUUCUUAUUGGAUGCCUUUUAAGAAUUACUAUUCACAAUUUUGACUUUUUUGACCAAAGGUUAAAUAUCCAAAAAUUGCACAAAAUUCACCAUUUUUUCCUCCUUAUGGCCGGCCCUCUCUAAGCAAGAAGAAAGACAAAACUCUUCAACAUUCUAGCAAACUUCUAGCUCAAAUCAACUAAAUCACUUGCUUAACUUGGUUUUCACUCCAUUAAAUUUUUCCUUCUAGUGCUAGUAAGUUGUUUGGUGAACUUUGUUUGAAGGACUAAGGUGCACAACAUCUUUCUCUCUUUUGGUUUGUGGUAAGUGAAGCUUGAAACAUCCUACUACACCUAAUGAUGCUUAUUGUAGACACCAAAUUUUAAAUAAUUUUGUAUGUUGCAUCUAAUUCAUGAUUUUUGUUGCAGAUUGUCUGCAUUCUAGUUCGUUAUUGUUUGUUUCUCAUUUUUAGUGGUUAUUUUAUUUUAGUUCAUUUUUGGCCCUUUUAGUUGAUCUAUUUCAUUUGUCAUUUAUUCUUGUUUGUCUUUUUAGUUUUAUUUACUUUUAGUUUUAGUUUUAGUUUUAGUUUUUAAAUUUUAAGAUUAGCAUAGAGUUGCUAGAGAAAAAAGGAAAACAUUCAAAAAAUAUAUGUUUUAGUCAUUUUUGUUUUUAUUUAAUGCUUUCUUGAUAAAAAAAAAGAUUAUGAAAAUCAUGAAAAAAAAAGAAAAAAACAGGCAAAAACAUUCAAAAAAUAGGUUUUUUUUUUUGGGAAAAACAAUGGAAAAGAAAGAAAAAGAAAGAAAAAGAAAUUUGCUCACAAAGUAUGUUUAUUUCUUUUAAAUUCAACUUUUUGGCAUUUUAUUUUAUUAAGUUAUUUGAAAAAAGUGAAAAAAUGAGAAAAAUGAAAAAAAUGGAAAGUUGCGUUUUUGUUGUUUCUAGUUUAUUUUUCUAAUGUUAAUUAAGUUGUUUUUGUUAUUAAUUAUUAUUGUUAUCAUUUUUUGUUGUUUAAUUAAUUAAUUUUUUUCAAAAAAAAAUAAAUAAAUAAAUUUACCGCAGCAUGCACGCUGCAAUUUUUUGCAGCGUGCAAGGCACAACCUCAAUAGACAUCGGAUGGCUGGAUGGAAAGGGAAGGACAAGCCUUCAUCCUCACCAUUGGGGUGAGGGUUUAGGAACCUUGGAGUUCCAUAUAAAAGGGAAGAGAAGGCUCAGCCGUGAAGGGAGAGGAAGAAAAUUUGGAGCUGACGGCUAAGAGAAAAC
This 7599-nucleotide long non-coding RNA is filed under the name Coffea arabica (coffee). Its description in RNAcentral is "long non-coding RNA (CARA_LNC008274)". Lineage: Eukaryota; Viridiplantae; Streptophyta; Magnoliopsida; Gentianales; Rubiaceae. The record is from RNAcentral.